GAUGAACGCUAGCGGAAGGCCUAAUACAUGCAAGUCGAACGGGCAUAUUGAUUUCGGUUAAUAUGUUAGUGGCGCACGGGUGAGUAACGCGUACACAACCUACCUUAUAUUGGGGGAUAGCCCCUGGGAAACUGGGAGUAAUACCGCAUAACAUUAUAGAGAGGCAUCUUUUUAUAAUUAAAGCAUUUGCGAUAUAAGAUGGGUGUGCGUCUGAUUAGGUAGUUGGUAGGGUAACGGCCUACCAAGCCGACGAUCAGUAGGGGGUGUGAGAGCAUGGCCCCCCACACGGGUACUGAGACACGGACCCGACUCCUACGGGAGGCAGCAGUAAGGAUAUUGGUCAAUGGAGGCAACUCUGAACCAGCCAUUCCGCGUGAAGGAUGAAUGCCCUCUGGGUUGUAAAACUUCUUUAGUCUGGGAAANAAAAACAUAUAUUCAUAUAUGUCUGACGGUACCAGAAGAAUAAGCACCGGCUAACUCCGUGCCAGCAGCCGUCGGUAAAGUCGAUAUCG
RNAcentral lists this ribosomal RNA (512 nucleotides) under uncultured bacterium. RNAcentral's name for it is "bacterial SSU rRNA". It matches the Rfam family "Bacterial small subunit ribosomal RNA", at positions 28 to 534 of the family's 1533-position model. The record is from RNAcentral.